Molecule: ribosomal RNA, 404 nt
Filed under: uncultured bacterium
Lineage: Bacteria
Description: bacterial SSU rRNA
Rfam family: Bacterial small subunit ribosomal RNA
Source: RNAcentral
UGGGGAAUCUUGCACAAUGGGGGAAACCCUGAUGCAGCGAUGCCGCGUGAGUGAAGAAAGCCUUUGGGUUGUAAAACUCUUUCGCCGAGGAAGAAAAUGACUGUACUCGAAUAAGAAGGUCCGGCUAACUUCGUGCCAGCAGCCGCGGUAAUACGAAGGGACCUAGCGUAGUUCGGAAUUACUGGGCUUAAAGAGCUCGUAGGUGGUUAAAGAAGUUGGUGGUGAAAUCCCAAGGCUUAACCUUGGAACUGCCAUCAAAACUUUUUAGCUAGAGUGUGAUAGAGGAAAGUGGAAUUUCUAGUGUAGAGGUGAAAUUCGUAGAUAUUAGAAAGAACACCAAAAGCGAAGGCAACUUUCUGGAUCAUUACUGACACUGAGGAGCGAAAGCAUGGGUAGCGAAGAGG